This 252-nucleotide ribosomal RNA is filed under the name uncultured bacterium. RNAcentral describes it as "partial 16S ribosomal RNA". It matches the Rfam family "Bacterial small subunit ribosomal RNA", at positions 524 to 776 of the family's 1533-position model. The record is from RNAcentral.
UACGUAGGGUGCGAGCGUUGUCCGGAAUACUGGGCGUAAAGCGUGCGCAGGCGGUUCGUUGUGUCGGCGGUGAAAGCCCCGGGCUUAACCUGGGAAUGGCCGUUGAAACUGGGGAGCUCGAGUGUGGAAGAGGGGGGUGGAAUUCCAGGUGUAGCAGUGAAAUGCGUAGAGAUCUGGAGGAACACCGAUGGCGAAGGCAGCCCCCUGGGCUAACACUGACGCUCAUGCACGAAAGCGUGGGGAGCAAACAGG